This 909-nucleotide ribosomal RNA is filed under the name Triticum aestivum (bread wheat). Its description in RNAcentral is "partial small subunit ribosomal RNA". The record is from RNAcentral. Lineage: Eukaryota; Viridiplantae; Streptophyta; Magnoliopsida; Poales; Poaceae.
AUGCGGCCGUCGCUGCUGACGAGGACAUCGCUGGUGAGCGCGGUGGCAGCCAUCGACGACCUCGAGCGUGUGGGCGCGUUGGUGAGCGCGGCGGCGGCCGUGGCCGUGGCCGUGGCCGAGCUCGAGCGCUGGCACAGCGGCGCGUUGUUGAGCACGGCGGCGGCCCGACCAUGGCCGAGCUCGAGCGUCUCAGUCUCCGAUGGCUCCUGCGCGUGCCGCUCCUGGGUUUUGAAGAGCCACUGUUUGUUCCAUUCGUCGAGGAUUCGACCGUCCUGCCGACUACUGCUGCGUCGAGGUGUUGCAAGGCUUCGGGUGUGUGACAUUUCCUGGCUGAUGUGGUCCAAGGGCAAUUAUCAAGUGGUCGGGGUUGCGGAGGAGAAUGUGAGGUUUCAGAAUAAUCUCCCACCACCACCACGAUUCAUAUCUGGAGAAGCUUUGUGGAAUCCGUGGUUUUGUCCUUCUCAUACUAUGGUUGCUGGCCUAUGGGGAAUCAGGAUGGACAUUGAGCAAAGUGGCAGAAGCGGGUGGCGGGUGUUGUGGCCGAGGAGCUCCACCACACACCCACAUGUUCGCUUGUUGACCUGGCAGCUCUUCACCGAGGUUUGCUGCUUUGGUUUGGCUGGGAUGUGUGCCUCCAUGGUUGGGUUGUGUGGACUGCUGGCAAGGAUGGAGAAGCAUAGGAAGGUGUCACCAUUGCAUAGAUUCUAUUAUAGCCAUGCUAGCUACUUGGCCAUGUCAUUUUGUUCACACAGGUGUGUCCACAACAACUCUGAUAGUGCCAUGCCGGACACGGUAUCAUUAAACAAGGACUCUUUUGGCGGACUCUUUUAUCACCUGUUUCCUGGCGCUAAGUCUCCAAACAGUUCAGCUUUGCUUCAGUCCUCUCUCGAGGCCAGAGCAGUAACAUGA